UUCAGAGCUGUCAAUCAUAAGAGGCAGUUAGAGAGUGACAGAAAUUGGAAGUGGAGUUCAGUUAGAAUGGGGGUCUGGGUACGAACAGUCUCAAAGAGGAGUUCUGAGACUCAAAGAAUAAGACAGUCAAAAAAGAAAUAAAGGAGGCAGUUAUUAGAACAGUCUGUAAUACAGACUGGGUUGUGAAGUAACUGGGUGAACAGCUCUUCUGGUCAUCACUCUGAAUGCUGUGCCACCUAGCGGUCACUGCCCAGGGCUCAGCCUUGACAGCCUCCACCACAGUCCUAGUCUAGAUUUCAGAUAGCACCCUUUCAGCUGCUAUUUCCCCCAUGAAAAAGACUGGCAUUGGCACCCAUGAGAAUUGGAGAGGAGAGCUGGUCUUGUGGUAGCAAGCAUGACUUGUCCCCUUAGCUAAGCAGGGUCCACCCUGGUUGCAUAUGAAUGGGAGACUUGGUGUGUGAGCACUGUAAGAUAUUCCUCUCAGGGGAUGGAGCCACUCUGGGAAGAGCAGAAGGUUCCAAGUUCCCUCCCUGGCUUCUCCAAGAUAGGGCUGAGAGAGAUUGCUGCCUGCAACCUUGGAGAAGCCGCUGCCAAUCUGUGUAGACAAUACUGAGCUCGAUGGACCAGUGGUCUGAGUCAGUAUAUGGCAGCUUCUUAUGUUCCUGUGUAACUGCUUUCCUUGGACAAAUGCUAGAGGAGCCCAGUCUGGAUCAGGACCAUGAGAGAGGCAGAUGUUUAAAUUUCCUGCCUCCCCAUGCCACAAUCCCAAUCCAGAUUGCUCCCUCUGUGGCUGCUAUUUAUGCUGUUAACGAAGAAGCAUGGAAGCACAAAUCACACUUUUCUUGUGUGUACUUAGGAACAUAGGACGCUGCCAUAUACUGAGUAGGGGUGUGCAUUUUGGAAUUUUCUUGUUUUGAUUUGUAUCCAAAUCGAAACAUCCCCUUUUUGUUUUGUACCCAAAUUUUCUGAAUCCGAAUCAGCCCUGUUUUGUUUUGUAGCCAAAUUUUCCGAAUCUGAAUCGAUUUGGAUUUUUAAAAAGGGUCUCAGGGCAAAAAGAGUGGGUGGUGGUGGUAGUGUCCAAUGGGUAGAAGCUACCACCCAAAUUUCAAAGGAAUUAGGCAAAGGGCUGAUUUUUUGUGUGAAAUUUUUUUAAGUUUACAUAUCUUUAAGAAUUUUCCCAUAGGGAAUAAUGGGGAUUCCAGCAAAUGUAUCACUUCAAAUCAAGGGGAAAGGGAUGGCCCAGAGCAGAGUGUGGUGGGUGGUAGUGCCCAAUGGGGGCAAGGAAACUUCCAGAAUUAUUUCAAAGGAAUUGGGCAAAGGGCUGAUCUUUUGUGAUUUGUUGAAGUUUACGUGUCUUUAAGAUUUCUCUCAUGGGGAAUAAUUGAGGUUUCAGCAGCCCCAUAUUUCCACUUAGGGGGGCUGGGGUUGCCCAGAGCGAGGGGUUGUGUAGUGCACAUAAGGUGCCAACCACCCCCACACCCACAAGCCUGUGGGGUACUGGGUUUUGUUGUUUCUGAGGUGUUCAUUGUAGAUUCUCUGGUAGCAUAUGAGAUUUUCAGUGAAAAACAAGAAUCCACUCUCAUAUGCUACCAGAGAAUCUACACUCAGAACACCACAGAAACAGCAGAACCCAGCACCCCAUGGGUUAGCAACCCUUCCCCUGGCCAAUGUGGGGUCAGUAAAGAGUGGCAAGAAGCAAAAGAGCCAAUGGGUAACAAGGAGGGAAUUGUCAGCAGGUCAGCCCAUGAUUUAGGUCACUGAUCAGAAGGCUGGAAGGGUGGGAAAUUCAAAGAGAUGUCAAACACAAAAUGGAGACUGACUCAGAGAUCACCACAAAAUGGAGGUCCGAAACAACAAAAUGUUUUGUAGCCGAAACAGGGACGUUUUGUUUUGUAUACAAAACUUUUGGAUCUGGAAAAUGGGUGUUUUGUUUUGUCUACAAAACACCCGAAACAGGCUGUUUUGGGUACAAAGCGUUUUGUAUCCAAAAUGUUUCGCACAUUCCUAAUACUGAGUCAGACUCAUGGAGAGGGCAGCAUUCCGGCAGACUCAUGUAUGGGAGUUGGUUCUUAAUUUGCCGUCAUGGACAGGCUAUAACCAUGCUGCAUAUACUGAAUGCAUCCAGAAGGCAGUGCAUGCAGGUGUUGGGUUCUUUAAAUAGCAGACAUAUAAUUAAAACAGUUGUAGACAUCAUCAUCAUUUAUUAUUUCUAGAAGUGCCAAAAAUAUAGGAGGCUGCAUAGGAAUCAAAUGCACCAGUAGGCUAACCAUUUAGCUCGGCUUGCGUGGUGACUUGUACUCUUUUUAAGGCCCUGAAGACACAAGUCUGCAGUUUGCUGUGGAUUAAUUGACUGUGAAAUUACAGUUUAAACAGCAAAACCUCUUUAAUGUAUUAGGACUGUGAAAAAGUAGCCAAAUAAAUAGAAUUUCCUUGCUUUGAAAACAGAAAGAGGUGUUCAACUUCCAUUCUAAAUUUGGAUUUAACAGUUUCAGACUAACAAACCUGCAAGUCAAGUCUGAGGUAUCCAACCCUGGUGUAAACUGCUUCUGUUAUGAACAACUUUCAAAUAACCAAAAUAGCUUAUAUCAUUUAUAUGAACUAUAUCAUCAAAUGAUUUUCUUUCAAACUGGCUACUAGACUGGCUCGUUUCAGUUCAAAAGUGGAAAGGAUGUAAUUAUCUUUAAAAGUGCAGCAACUACUUAAGCAGAGCCAUGACCAUUCACUAAUUUCUUCUGACUGUUUUCAUUUUAGCAUUCAUUGCAGUGGAAAAGAAAAACGAUUAAUGUGACUGUGCUUUGGAGGAUCUAUUUGAAUGUGUAUUUCAAAUACUCGGAUGUUUAAAAAGGAGGAUACAUAUUGCAACAAAAGGAUAAACUUUAGAUCUUGAGGAGGGCUUGAGGGUCCUGGGCAGUCCAGAUGCAAGCACAGGACUAAUGCUGACCCACUUCAGAGGGAUCUCAACAUCAGUGGAAGUUCUAGAGAAGAGCAAGGGACAAGUCAGCAAGAACUCUGGCACAGUGGAAAGGCUGGAUUCUGUGAAGGCUGCUUUUCAUGUUACUUUUGAAACACAAUUAAAUGGAGCUUCUGCCCACAUUGAAGCACUGCUUGUGGAUCUGCAUGUAGUCAAAUAAAAGUGAUUCUUGUAAAGCAAGUUGGGACUCACGAGCUGGCGGGCAGGACACCCACACACUAUGCAAAUGACUAUCAAACAUAUACGAAAAGACAUACAGAGGUGAAAGCCCGAAAGCAUAGCAAACAGAGCAUAGCCAACAGGGAUAGCAAAAAGGGCACAGAGUUUUGCAGGAGUUUAGUGGGAAGUGUGCAGGGGAGCCUGGAACAAGUCCAUGUGAUCACAAGGAGCCCAGUGGAGAAGAGAAGCAACCCACAAGAAAUACUUCCUCGGCAAAGCCUCCCAGGAUAGAAAGCCAAUUGCUAGAAGGUCCUGCAUCUUGGCAUCUUGAAAAUAGCACUCUAGGAAUAGGAUAUUUCUCCAGAACAAACUGGCUGAAAGGAGCUGAGCGGGGCUUAAACAAGAAAGGAAAUGACUCACUUCGAUUAAAGAGGCCCAGACAUGAGGAGCUUGUUUGCAUGCUAAAAGCAUUUAUCUCUAAUUUUGUCAUUACAAUGUUGACUCUACAUUUCAAGAAACAUAACAAUCAUGCAUUGCCAUUUUUAGCUAGUAUACAUGUUCCUAUGCUGAUUUUUUCCCCUGUGCUAUUAAAAUGUUUACAGAUAAUUUGAAAACAAAAUUAGCAUUAUAAUGUUUGUUUGCUUUUGCACCCAGAUGACUGUGUUUGAAAAAGUAUCCUACACAUUACCAAAGACAAAUUAUUUAAUUCUUCUAUUCUCUCUCUCUCUCUCUCUCUCUCUCUCUCUCUCUCUGUGGUGGGCAGAGAAUUGUAUAUUUUCCAUCAUUGUAGAUUCUGUGUGCUGGCCUAAAAUGUUUUUCAAGAUAAUUUGCUUUUGCACUCAUCACCCUCAUAACAGCACCCCUUUAAAAUGAUCAUAUCAGAACUAGGAAGAGAGAAUCCCAAGAUAUUAAA
Long non-coding RNA from Hemicordylus capensis (graceful crag lizard), 4043 nucleotides. RefSeq lists it as uncharacterized. The record is from RefSeq and is a predicted model, not a curated record. Lineage: Eukaryota; Metazoa; Chordata; Lepidosauria; Squamata; Cordylidae. The transcript is spliced from 6 exons.